RNAcentral lists this unclassified non-coding RNA (338 nucleotides) under fungal sp. RNAcentral's name for it is "partial internal transcribed spacer region". The record is from RNAcentral. Lineage: Eukaryota; Fungi.
GCGGCGAGAAGGUGAAAGGGAUUAUUCAUGACAGCUCAAAUCAUUGACGGCAAGUUAAUCGGCGCGCAGGUACGCGAAGAAGUUUCAGUGGCAGUCGCUACACGCAUUGCUUCUGGGAAACGAAAACCCACACUGGCGACCGUGCUGGUCGGGGAACGACCAGACUCGGCUGCGUAUGUGGCGUCCAAGGGAAAAGCCUGUCUUGAACUGGGCAUGGGUUCGGUCAGCGAACACCUUCCUGCUGACGCCACGCAGGGAGAAGUGGAGUCGCUCGUCACGCGGCUGAAUGCAGACCAACAGAUCAGUGGAAUCCUGGUGCAGUUGCCUCUGCCGGCCCA